RNAcentral lists this ribosomal RNA (253 nucleotides) under uncultured bacterium. RNAcentral's name for it is "partial 16S ribosomal RNA". It matches the Rfam family "Bacterial small subunit ribosomal RNA", at positions 524 to 776 of the family's 1533-position model. The record is from RNAcentral.
UACGAAGGGUGCAAGCGUUACUCGGAAUUACUGGGCGUAAAGCGUGCGUAGGUGGUUUGUUAAGUCUGUUGUGAAAGCCCCGGGCUCAACCUGGGAAUGGCAAUGGAUACUGGCAAGCUAGAGUGCGGUAGAGGGUAGUGGAAUUCCCGGUGUAGCGGUGAAAUGCGUAGAGAUCGGGAGGAACACCAGUGGCGAAGGCGGCUACCUGGACCAGCACUAACACUGAGGCACGAAAGCGUGGGGAGCAAACAGG